UUUUCACGACCCUCAAGUCGAUGUUGUCUUUAUUUUCUCAACCCCAAGUUGAUUUGUUCUCGACCCCCCGAGUCGAUGUUGUCAUUUUAUUUUCUCAACCCUCGAGUUGGUAUGUUCUCGACCCCUGAGUCGAUGUCGAUGUUGUUGUCUUUAUUUCCUCGACCCCGAGUCGAUGUCUUUAUCUUUAUUUUAUUAACCCCCGAGUUGAUAUGUUUUCGACCCCUGAGCUGAUAUCAUUGUAUUUAUUUCCUCGACCCCU
This 259-nucleotide long non-coding RNA is filed under the name Lathyrus oleraceus (garden pea). RNAcentral describes it as "Pisum sativum (pea) long non-coding RNA (PSAT_LNC040689)". The record is from RNAcentral. Lineage: Eukaryota; Viridiplantae; Streptophyta; Magnoliopsida; Fabales; Fabaceae.